UUAGAUUUAGUGUAAAGCAUAUUGUCUUUGGAAGAUAAAGGAAAUUCUAAA
Molecule: transfer RNA, 51 nt
Filed under: Agamermis sp. BH-2006
Lineage: Eukaryota; Metazoa; Nematoda; Enoplea; Mermithida; Mermithidae
Description: tRNA-Pro
Source: RNAcentral